UACGAAGGGGGCUAGCGUUGCUCGGAAUUACUGGGCGUAAAGGGCGCGUAGGCGGAUGUUUAAGUCGGGGGUGAAAGCCCGGGCUCAACCUCGGAAUUGCCUUCGAUACUGGACAUCUUGAGUACGGGAGAGGUGAGUGGAACUCCGAGUGUAGAGGUGAAAUUCGUAGAUAUUCGGAAGAACACCAGUGGCGAAGGCGACUCACUGGCCCGUUACUGACGCUGAGGCGCGAAAGCGUGGGGAGCAAACAGG
Molecule: ribosomal RNA, 252 nt
Filed under: uncultured bacterium
Lineage: Bacteria
Description: partial 16S ribosomal RNA
Rfam family: Bacterial small subunit ribosomal RNA
Source: RNAcentral